GUUACGCUGGCGGCGUGCCUAAUACAUGCAAGUCGAGCGGACCGACGGGAGCUUGCUCCCUUAGGUCAGCGGCGGACGGGUGAGUAACACGUGGGUAACCUGCCUGUAAGACUGGGAUAACUCCGGGAAACCGGGGCUAAUACCGGAUGCUUGAUUGAACCGCAUGGUUCAAUCAUAAAAGGUGGCUUUUAGCUACCACUUACAGAUGGACCCGCGGCGCAUUAGCUAGUUGGUGAGGUAACGGCUCACCAAGGCGACGAUGCGUAGCCGACCUGAGAGGGUGAUCGGCCACACUGGGACUGAGACACGGCCCAGACUCCUACGGGAGGCAGCAGUAGGGAAUCUUCCGCAAUGGACGAAAGUCUGACGGAGCAACGCCGCGUGAGUGAUGAAGGUUUUCGGAUCGUAAAACUCUGUUGUUAGGGAAGAACAAGUACCGUUCGAAUAGGGCGGRACCUUGACGGUACCUAACCAGAAAGCCACGGCUAACUACGUGCCAGCAGCCGCGGUAAUACGUAGGUGGCAAAGCGUU
RNAcentral lists this ribosomal RNA (532 nucleotides) under Bacillus licheniformis. RNAcentral's name for it is "bacterial SSU rRNA". It matches the Rfam family "Bacterial small subunit ribosomal RNA", at positions 33 to 541 of the family's 1533-position model. The record is from RNAcentral. Lineage: Bacteria; Bacillati; Bacillota; Bacilli; Caryophanales; Bacillaceae.